AGUUACACGUUUUCCUCCAAGGAGCCUCGGACGUUGUCACGGGUUUGGGGUCGGGGACAGAGCGGUGACCAUGGCCAGGCUGGCGUUGUCUCCUGUGCCCAGCCACUGGAUGGUGGCGUUGCUGCUGCUGCUCUCAGCUGAGCCAGUACCAGCAGCCAGAUCAGAGGACCGGUACCGGAAUCCCAAAGGUCAGUAGCCUCGCCUGCCGCUUCUGAGGGCAAGUUGUGUGCGACUAUGUCCUGUGUCCGACUAUGGUCCCUGUCCUGGGGGCGGUCCGCCUUCCCACCCUUGCCUGAUCUCCCCAUCCAGGAUUCCCAUCCCCAGGCCUCCUUAGGAUCUCCUCUGAGCCCCACCCCCAGCCCACUGUCAUCCUCAUCAGACACAUGCCCUCCAGCCUUGGCCACUGAAGGGCUGGGCUAAACUCUGGGUCACAGCAAGGGAGCCUGGGGGUUCCUCUAGGACUCAGGCCCGGGCCUGUCUAGCUGGGAAUCUGGCUGAGUCUCGGGUGAGCCCUCCAGUGCAGGGUCACUAUGUGAGGGGCUCAGGGAUUCCCGGGCAGUGCU
RNAcentral lists this small RNA (563 nucleotides) under Pan troglodytes (chimpanzee). RNAcentral describes it as "retained intron". Lineage: Eukaryota; Metazoa; Chordata; Mammalia; Primates; Hominidae. The record is from RNAcentral.